RNAcentral lists this ribosomal RNA (389 nucleotides) under uncultured bacterium. RNAcentral describes it as "partial 16S ribosomal RNA". It matches the Rfam family "Bacterial small subunit ribosomal RNA", at positions 355 to 735 of the family's 1533-position model. The record is from RNAcentral.
UGGGGAAUUUUGGACAAUGGGCGAAAGCCUGAUCCAGCAAUGCCGCGUGUGUGAAGAAGGCCUUCGGGUUGUAAAGCACUUUUGUCCGGGAAAGAAAUCCUUGGCUCUAAUACAGUCGGGGGAUGACGGUACCGGAAGAAUAAGCACCGGCUAACUACGUGCCAGCAGCCGCGGUAAUACGUAGGGUGCAAGCGUUAAUCGGAAUUACUGGGCGUAAAGCGUGCGCAGGCGGUUUGCUAAGACCGAUGUGAAAUCCCCGGGCNCAACUGGGAACUGCAUUGGUGACUGGCAGGCUAGAGUAUGGCAGAGGGGGGUAGAAUUCCACGUGUAGCAGUGAAAUGCGUAGAGAUGUGGAGGAAUACCGAUGGCGAAGGCAGCCCCCUGGGGCC